GCACUAGUAGCUCAGCAGACAGACCUC
Molecule: transfer RNA, 27 nt
Filed under: Parosphromenus anjunganensis
Lineage: Eukaryota; Metazoa; Chordata; Actinopteri; Anabantiformes; Osphronemidae
Description: partial tRNA-Thr
Source: RNAcentral